UGGGGAAUAUUGGACAAUGGGCGCAAGCCUGAUCCAGCAAUGCCGCGUGUGUGAAGAAGGCCUUCGGGUUGUAAAGCACUUUUAUCAGGAGCGAAACGCUGUCGGCUAAUACCCGGCGGAACUGACGGUACCUGAGGAAUAAGCACCGGCUAACUUCGUGCCAGCAGCCGCGGUAAUACGAAGGGUGCAAGCGUUAAUCGGAAUUACUGGGCGUAAAAGCGUGCGUAGGCGGUCUCUUAAGUCUGCUGUGAAAUCCCCGGGCUCAACCUGGGAAUGGCAGUGGAUACUGGGAGGCUAGAGUGUGUCAGAGGGUGGUGGAAUUCCCGGUGUAGCGGUGAAAUGCGUAGAGAUCGGGAGGAACAUCAGUGGCGAAGGCGGCCACCUGGGACAACACUGACGCUGAGGCACGAAAGCGUGGGGAGCAAACAGGAUUAGAUACCCUGGUAGUCCACGCCCUAAACGAUGCGAACUGGAUGUUGGUCUCAACUCGGAGAUCAGUGUCGAAGCUAACGCGUUAAGUUCGCCGCCUGGGGAGUACGGUCGCAAGACUGAAACUCAAAUGAAUUGACGGGGUCAUAGCUGUUUCCUG
This 589-nucleotide ribosomal RNA is filed under the name uncultured bacterium. RNAcentral's name for it is "partial 16S ribosomal RNA". It matches the Rfam family "Bacterial small subunit ribosomal RNA", at positions 355 to 1376 of the family's 1533-position model. The record is from RNAcentral.